CCUAGAAAUAAAAAGGCAACUUCUGUAUCUCACAUUCAUGGAAGCAAAAGAAGAAACUCUAAAUUAAAACAAUCUUGUACUAAAGCACAAGUGGGUAGCAUUUACCUUGAAGGCUUUGAUACGCUGCGGUAGUGGAAGGAUGAUUCUCUAAAGGGAAGUAAAAAAGAUAACUGCUCUCAUCAUCUUCUCAAUUACAAUCUCUGUGAGCAAUACAAAAUCUAACAUCUGCUGUUUUCUAGUAACAUGUCUAGAAUAUUUGACAAGUCUUGUUUGCUCUAUACAUAACACAUCUGUAUCAUGUCCAACAGGCAAUGGCAAAUUAUCCCACUCGUUCUCAGAUGUUUCAACCUUACCAAAACUACAGUGUAUAGUCACUAGUAGCACUUGUGAACCAAAAACUAACCGAAGAAAGAGGGAAAGACACCGGAAAUAUUCUUUUCCAUAUCUAGCAUGUGCUUAUGUAGUCUAAUAUAUCUACCAGAAGCCAUAAUCAAAUGUAUAUAACACCUAUGAAACUUUUGAAUUUCGACCUACAACAGUAGCAGUCUAGGCAACUCUUAAACAACGCAAAGCAUGUUUUAUCAAGGAUCAGGUCACACUUGCAGAAAUAAUCAAAUCAUUGUAUCAUUCAAAGAAAGAAAUAAAGAGUUACGCAAACAAGCAAUAAGCAAGAACCAACAAUCCAAAUGAACAAUAUAUAUCAACCUAGACUUAAAAAAAAAACAUUCAGGAAUGUAAAAUUUUGGCCAGCCACUCAAAUCCAUCAACCAUCAACUAUCUAAAAUAUGCAAUCAAACUAAAACUCUAACCAUUUCUUGUAAUAUUCACAGGUGAUGGGAGAGAUUAUUCCAUCAGGGGUGCAACGACUUAUCUGUGGACAAACUCCACAAGGAACGGAAGCCAAGGCACCAAGCUUGGGUUCUCCUCCAUAACCUCUCUUACCGGC
RNAcentral lists this long non-coding RNA (946 nucleotides) under Gossypium raimondii (Peruvian cotton). RNAcentral's name for it is "long non-coding RNA (GRAI_LNC003476)". The record is from RNAcentral. Lineage: Eukaryota; Viridiplantae; Streptophyta; Magnoliopsida; Malvales; Malvaceae.